GAUGAACGCUGGCGGCGUGCCUAAUACAUGCACGUCGAGCGAACGGACGAGAAGCUUGCUUCUCUGAUGUUAGCGGCGGACGGGUGAGUAACACGUGGAUAACCUACCUAUAAGACUGGGAUAACUUCGGGAAACCGGAGCUAAUACCGGAUAAUAUUUUGAACCGCAUGGUUCAAAAGUGAAAGACGGUCUUGCUGUCACUUAUAGAUGGAUCCGCGCUGCAUUAGCUAGUUGGUAAGGUAACGGCUUACCAAGGCAACGAUGCAUAGCCGACCUGAGAGGGUGAUCGGCCACACUGGAACUGAGACACGGUCCAGACUCCUACGGGAGGCAGCAGUAGGGAAUCUUCCGCAAUGGGCGAAAGCCUGACGGAGCAACGCCGCGUGAGUGAUGAAGGUCUUCGGAUCGUAAAACUCUGUUAUUAGGGAAGAACAUAUGUGUAAGUAACUGUGCACAUCUUGACGGUACCUAAUCAGAAAGCCACGGCUAACUACGUG
Molecule: ribosomal RNA, 497 nt
Filed under: uncultured bacterium
Lineage: Bacteria
Description: partial 16S ribosomal RNA
Rfam family: Bacterial small subunit ribosomal RNA
Source: RNAcentral